ACUACGCCCGCGCUGCUCAGCGCUACCGCUUCCCCGCAACUGUGCGGGGUGGGAGCCGGUGCCCGGUCCGACCGGCUUGGGCGGCGCGCCUUCACCCGGCGCCAGGUCCGGACCCCUCCCUAGUAGCUUCGCGGCCUCCCUGCCUCCUGUGCGCGGCCUGGCUCGGAGAGGUCGGGUGGGCAGGCUUUCCCGACUGCAGGCGAGGCAGUGCGCGGCUCACCCCAGUCCCCGACCCACGUGAAGCGUACAGAGGGCAUUUUAUUAACCGGGAAGGACGGUGCGGAAGAGCCAGCAGGACGCCUCUUCACCCCGCGUAGGCAGUGUCGUCGUUGCUGUCACUAAAGGCGGAGGAAGAGAGCUCUUCGCGGGGCGUGCAGACCGGGCACCGCUGCCGCAUGUCGUCCCAGCACGACCAGCAGUACACGGCCUCGCAGUCCAGCGUCCGGCACACGUAGGACUCGGGCGUCUCGGGUGCCUGGCACACCACGCAGCGCCGGCGCAGCCAGCGGCGCAGGAGCGGGCAGCCGCGGUGCAGGAUAUCCGCCAGCGGGUGGCGCUGUUGGGAGGUGGGCGUUAGCGCCAGCCCGGGAGCGAGGCGGGAAAGAAGGGGAACUGGACAGCGUUUCCUGUCUGAAGUCGCCAGGCCUGACAAUUCCCGCGUGUUGGAGGAGGCUGGGUUGGACAAAGGAAACCCCUGGAGGGCGAGGGUGCCUCCCUCCCCAACUCUGUGAUGGAGAAUGGGAGGAUGCACCCUCCAGGCUCUCUCCAAGCGGAUAUCAGCCACAGCUCUCAUUUGCACUUUCCUGCAAAUCAUCUUAUUUGGUUCUCACAGUGAGGCUAAGAAGUGAGCAGGCCAGAUCGACUAUCACUGUUGCUAUCCCCACUUUACAGUUGAGAAAGGUGAGAAAACUGAUGCUUGGAGAUGUGAUCACUGCCCAGGGUCACCCAAUGAUAACAUGCAUGCAUAUGGAACUUGCUGCAUGCUAGCACCAUGAGUCCGCUCCCCAUGCCGUCCUCACCACAUUGCUCAUUUCUGAGGCCUGGAUGGUGGGCUUGCAAGGGAAGAUGACGGUUUUCUCCUCAGCUUUGCGGAGUGGCAGCAGAGUCCGUUUGCCCUGGAAAACAAAUGUCCACACAGUUAGGAAGCCCAAGGGCUCUCUGCCCUUUCCUCUCUGCCUUCCUGGAGCAUGAACCCACACAGGGCACACAGCAGCAAGGCAUCCCCAGGCAGUGCCGUGCCCACUCACCAGCUUCUUCCUGCGGUCAUCGAUCUGGCAGAAGUUCUCCUCAUCUAUCCCCAAACAUGGGCUUCCUUGAGGCACAGUCAUUCAACCAACCAGCCAGCAUUCAUUGAGCACCAUCUAUGUCCUGGGCACUGCUAGGGGAUGGUGAUAACAGGGAGAAGACUCUGUCCCUGCCUUCCAAUUGUGUAGAGGAAGACAUCCCCCUACAUGAUGGGUGAGACAUAGCAGAAGUGAGUAGGGGAUGAGGUGGGGGCUCAGAGGAGGGCAUGGUCAGCCUGUCUGGGAGGGAGUUGCAUGUGUGCAUCUGAGGUAGGGACAGGCAUGCAUCUUGCAGGUUGAAUAUCGAGCAGAGUCACAGAGAGGGGGAAACUCCUUGAGGUUUCAGGAAUCACCUAAUCCACUGUGACUCACAAAUUCCUGCCUCUUGGCUUUGCCUGCAGCAUAUUUCCUGGAAGUGUGCUGGGGCAAAACUCAUCCCAGACCACCAUCUCCGUCCUCCCCAAUACACCCUGGCCCUCCCUGGCUACCCUUGAGCACGGUGCACGUGUGCAUGGGUGCAUGCCUGCAUAUAUAGCUAUCCCCCAUGUAUUUCCCAAAGCCCUACAUAAUGCUUCAGUUUGCUAAGGAAAAAAUGUUAAUUACUGCAAAUGUGUUUAAAACUGUAAAAGUACAUUAAACAAACUCUGUAAAGUGUGAAA
Long non-coding RNA from Gorilla gorilla gorilla (western lowland gorilla), 1942 nucleotides. RefSeq lists it as uncharacterized. NCBI's taxonomy places the organism in Eukaryota, Metazoa, Chordata, Mammalia, Primates, Hominidae. The record is from RefSeq and is a predicted model, not a curated record. The transcript has 4 exons.